Molecule: non-coding RNA, 238 nt
Organism: Pelobates cultripes (western spadefoot toad)
Lineage: Eukaryota; Metazoa; Chordata; Amphibia; Anura; Pelobatidae
Source: the annotation of a GenBank genome assembly
AGAGCAGGGAGAGGAAACAACCGAAUGAACACAGGUAAAUACAGGGAAAUCCUUUACAUAUCACUUUUUGCUUUGUUGCAUAAAUUCUUCACUACCUUCACAGCGGAUUCAGCUUUGCAGUUAGCCUGUGGAUGUCGUGAUGAAGAAGCCACAUGCUCGGACUCCCAUUUAGUUUCUGAAUUGUAAGUUUGCAAACUGAGGUUCAUUAUCAGAGAUAACUGUAUCUGCUUGGUCGUGA